Molecule: non-coding RNA, 52 nt
Organism: Rhizobiales bacterium 63-22
Lineage: Bacteria; Pseudomonadati; Pseudomonadota; Alphaproteobacteria; Hyphomicrobiales
Source: Rfam
GACCCCGGAGGUCCACAUCCGACAGCGCGAUGCGCCCUCGGAUGCCGCGAUC